CGGAGGGGGCGAGCGUUAUUCGGAAUUAUUGGGCGUAAAGGGCGCGUAGGCGGCUCUUUAAGUCAAAGGUGAAAUCCCUCGGCUCAACUGAGGAACUGCCUUUGAAACUGAGGAGCUUGAGUCCGGGAGGGGGUAGCGGAAUUCCCAGUGUAGCGGUGAAAUGCGUAGAUAUUGGGAGGAACACCAGUGGCGAAGGCGGCUACCUGGACCGGAACUGACGCUGAUGCGCGAAAGCGUGGGUAGCAAACAGGAUUAGAUACCCUGGUAGUCCACGCUGUAAACGAUGGGUGCUCGGUGUCGCGGGUAUCGACCCCUGCGGUGCCUUAGCUAACGCGUUAAGCACCCCGCCUGGGGAGUACGGUCGCAAGGCUG
RNAcentral lists this ribosomal RNA (372 nucleotides) under uncultured organism. RNAcentral describes it as "bacterial SSU rRNA". It matches the Rfam family "Bacterial small subunit ribosomal RNA", at positions 526 to 896 of the family's 1533-position model. The record is from RNAcentral.